Physeter macrocephalus (sperm whale) is the source of this 788-nucleotide long non-coding RNA. RefSeq lists it as uncharacterized. Lineage: Eukaryota; Metazoa; Chordata; Mammalia; Artiodactyla; Physeteridae. The transcript has 3 exons. The record is from RefSeq and is a predicted model, not a curated record.
CUGGGUUUAAGUGGCACUACACCAAAGGGCGAGACCUCGGAAUCUGGACACCCCCUCGGUCAGCGAAGGACUGCGGAUACCAUUGCUCGCAGAUCGAGCCCCAACCAGGCAGGAGGAGGCUGAGAGGCGAAAGGGAGACGGGAAGCGGGGCAGGAAACCGUUAGCCAGUGAUUUUAAUCUCAGGAAACAUGUCUUUCCAAAGCUUAGGGGACAUGGCUGAGGGAAGGCUCAAUUCCAUCUAAUGUGGACUGCACGCCAUGCUGUACUAGGAAUGUGUGCAAGAAAAAGAAAAUAACCAAUAUAUAUUCAAGGAGCUACAUCUUCUCGUGGGUGUUUAUUUCCAUUAUGCAUAUCCUUGUCUCAAGAAUGACACCUUGUAAUGAAUCACAUAUAUUUACACAGAUCUUGUAGGAUGAGCUAUUAACCCUGUCACAGGUAACUGGCAUGGUUCUAAGGCAUACAUAGGUGGUGACAGUGGCCAAGGGGAGGGAUCGGUCAAAAGAUUAAUGGCAGGGCACCCGGUGCGACACCCGCAGAGUUUAGGUUUGCAUAUUAAGCAUGAAGUCACUUGACAGCUCGCGAUUUUGGAGACAAGGGGAAACCAAGGGUGUUAUGGCUCCACCGGGAAUGACUUCAGAUAGUGGAGCGUGAUCACCUGCUUCAGCAGCACCUGGUGGAUAGUACCAGGGCCGGUGAGCACACCUGGGGAAUGGAGAAACGGUUCUGCUAAUUACAAGCUGGCUGACCUUGAACAAACCAAGGGCCCCAGUCAAUGAACCUAAGAUGGG